Long non-coding RNA from Protobothrops mucrosquamatus (brown spotted pit viper), 777 nucleotides. RefSeq lists it as uncharacterized. Lineage: Eukaryota; Metazoa; Chordata; Lepidosauria; Squamata; Viperidae. The record is from RefSeq and is a predicted model, not a curated record. The transcript has 3 exons.
GAUAUGCCGUGAACAGUUUGUAGCCCUACACAGCCAACCCAUUUUGGAGGACCUUUCAAACUUCAUGUUGCAGAAAUACUGUUCCGAUACCACAACAUGUGAAAGCGAUAAAAAGAAGAAGGGCCAGAAAGCUGUCCAGGCCAGGAUCCAGGAGCUGAAAGCUUUACUGCCUAAUAUUCCCAAGAAAGGUGACUUCAAACUAGAAAAGGUGAAGAGAUCAGUCUACUUUUUCAACUGAUUCUGCAAGAUCAUCUUUCUCCUGAUCCUCUCUACAUUCGAACUUAGACCCGGCCGGGGUGUCCGGGCGACAUUGAGAAGGAGCAACUUCCCGUUUCUCUCCAGUCUCCCUGAACGGGAUUGAAAAUGUACCCGGUUCCUUAAAUUUGGUCCCUCUCUCGGUGCUUCUGGAGGGAAUCAGCCUGACAAGGAAUUCCUUCCCCACAGAGGAGUUGGAAACGCAUCACCCCAAAAACUGGGUUUUUAGAUUUAUCAGGGACACAUAAGGUACCUGGGCGGAGGUGUGCAAACAGGAUGUUUCUCCACAGAUCAUCUGGAGAAAGGACUUAUUUUGGCCCUGUCUGUCUCUUCUGGAAGAAAACAAUUGUUGAUAUUUGUUUUCACUCUUGGGAGUCCUCGGCUACCGAAGCCAAGACUGCAUUCUCCCCCCUUUUCAAUUUUUAUGCACUUUGUUCCUGUUGGGGGGGGACAUCCCUCCAUUCCGGUUAUUUCCUCUGGCAGUUGCAAAUAAAGUAAGUAUUUGAAAUCUAAGCCGAGCUU